GGUUCCGCUUUCAGGGCUGUUUGUUUCCCUUCCCUGUUGGCUGCAGGGUAGCUGGAGCCGGGUCGGUCCGGCCCGGGCCCGGGCUGGGAGCGAGACGAGGUGGGGGCGGUAACAGCUUCUGUUUACUUAUAACCUAUCAAAGAUGUUCCCUCCCCCACCUGGUCUCUCUGCUCCCCUCCAGUCGCGGGCAGGCGAGAAGCGGAAUAUCCCUUAGGGGAGUAUCCUGAGUGCCGAAACCUAACGUGUGGUAGUUAGGACGUGUGUCAACAUCCAGAACGUGAACAAGCCCAAGGAGGGCCCCAAAGGAGCUGAUGUUUCAAGAUCAGAAAAUGUUGGAAUGACACUCAACUAAUUUGCUCUAUUAAAAUGUGUAAGUGUCAGACCAGAUCCCCAUGUGACACUGCUGUAGGGUCUAGAAGGAUGAAGGAGCAGACUACCAUGUUGAACAGAAAUGUGUUGUUUUACAAGUAGUUCUCCUAUGAACCACUGCUUAUUUGAAGUUACCUAAUUGUGUGUGUGUAAUAGUCACAGAACAUGGGACUUAUUGAAUCUGAAAAGUUAGACUACCAACUAAGAAAUAAAUUAAUUAAUUAAUCCUGUAGAAUCUUAAAUCACUUUUUGCAAACAAAGCCAGACUUUCCCAGUUAUACUAAAAGACAAAAUAGAUAAACAGAUCAGCAGCACAUAUUAGCGCUUUUCUUGUCAUAGUUAUUAUUUUUUUAAUUAAAUAAAAUGUUGGAUAAAAAGUUAUGUUCCAGUGCUAAUAAACAUUAAUAGAAAUCUUGAUCAGCUUUCAGAAGAAAGUAAGAUCAUUUCCAAGUUGUGUUUUCCCAGAAUAUAUUUAAAGAUUGUGUUGUACUGUCAACCUAAAGUGCAUCUAUUACACCUCAAUGGAGGCUACUAUUUACAAAACAUAUAAUAAACCCAUACAGUUAUCAG
Molecule: long non-coding RNA, 939 nt
Organism: Mauremys mutica (yellowpond turtle)
Lineage: Eukaryota; Metazoa; Chordata; Testudines; Geoemydidae
Exons: 3
Source: RefSeq, a predicted model, not a curated record